CCUACGGGCGGCAGCAGUGGGGAAUAUUGGACAAUGGGGGGAACCCUGAUCCAGCCAUGCCGCGUGUGUGAAGAAGGCCCUCGGGUUGUAAAGCACUUUCAGUGAGGAAGAACGCCUGGUGGUUAAUACCCAUCAGGAAAGACAUCACUCACAGAAGAAGCACCGGCUAACUCCGUGCCAGCAGCCGCGGUAAUACGGAGGGUGCGAGCGUUAAUCGGAAUUACUGGGCGUAAAGCGCGCGUAGGUGGCUUGAUAAGCCGGUUGUGAAAGCCCCGGGCUCAACCUGGGAACGGCAUCCGGAACUGUCAAGCUAGAGUGCAGGAGAGGAAGGUAGAAUUCCCGGUGCAGCGGUGAAAUGCGUAGAGAUCGGGAGGAAUACCAGUGGCGAAGGCGGCCUUCUGGACUGACACUGACACUGAGGUGCGAAAGCGUGGGUAGCAAACAGGAUUAGAUACCCCAGUAGUC
Molecule: ribosomal RNA, 465 nt
Filed under: Vreelandella stevensii
Lineage: Bacteria; Pseudomonadati; Pseudomonadota; Gammaproteobacteria; Oceanospirillales; Halomonadaceae
Description: partial 16S ribosomal RNA
Rfam family: Bacterial small subunit ribosomal RNA
Source: RNAcentral